GGCUCAGGAUGAACGCUGGCGGCGUGCCUUAGGCAUGCAAGUCGAACGAAAAGUAGCAAUACUUUUAGUGGCAGACGGGUGAGUAACACGUAGGAAUCUACCCUUUGGUGAGGAAUAACGGUUCGAAAGGACCGCUAAUACCACAUAAGUCCGUAAGGAGAAAGACCGUAACUGGUCGCCGAUGGAGGAGCCUGCGUCCUAUCAGCUUGUUGGUGAGGUAAUGGCUCACCAAGGCUAUGACGGGUAGGGGGCGUGAGAGCGUGGCCCCCCACAAGGACACUGAGACACGGGUCCUACACCUACGGGUGGCAGCAACCGGGAAUAUUGCGCAAUGGAGGAAACUCUGACGCAGCGACGCCGCGUGCGGGAUGAAGGCCUUCGGGUUGUAAACCGCUGUGGAGAGGGAUGAAUUUUGACAGUACCUCUCUAGAAAGCACCUGCUAACUACGUGCCAGAAGCCUCGGUAAUACGUAGGGUGCAAGCGUUAUCCGGAUUUACUGGGCGUAAAGCGUCCGCAGGCGGUAUGGUAAGUGGUGGGUUAAAGACUCUGGCUCAACUAGAGGAAAGCUCGCCAAACUGGCAAACUAGAGCUAGUUCGGGGAUACUGGAAUUCUCGGUGGAGGGGUGAAAUCCGUUGAUAUCGAGAAGAACGCCAAAGACGAAGGUAAGUAUCUAGAACUAUGCUGACGCUCAGGGACGAAAGCUAGGGUAGCAAACUGGAUUAGAGACCCAGGUAGUCCUAGCCGUAAACUAUGAACACUAGCUGGUUGGAUGAAUUUCUGA
This 783-nucleotide ribosomal RNA is filed under the name uncultured bacterium. RNAcentral's name for it is "bacterial SSU rRNA". It matches the Rfam family "Bacterial small subunit ribosomal RNA", at positions 21 to 842 of the family's 1533-position model. The record is from RNAcentral.